UGAGGAAUAUUGGUCAAUGGGGGCAACCCUGAACCAGCCAAGUCGCGUGAAGGACGAAGGUCUUAUGGAUUGUAAACUUCUUUUACACGGGAAUAAAGUGGGGGACGUGUCCCCCUUUGCAUGUACCGUGUGAAUAAGGAUCGGCUAACUCCGUGCCAGCAGCCGCGGUAAUACGUAGGGGGCAAGCGUUGUCCGGAUUUACUGGGUGUAACGGGUGCUCAGGCGGAUUUGUAAGUCAGAGGUGAAGUCUUACAGCUUAACUGUGAAACUGCCUUUGAUACUGCAAGCCUAGAGUAUGGAAGAGAGUGAUGGAAUAUCUGGUGUAGCAGUGAAAUGCGUAGAUAUCAGAUAGAACACCAAUGGCGAAGGCAGUCACUUGGUCCAUUACUGACGCUAAAGCACGAAAGCGUGGGUAGCAAACA
Molecule: ribosomal RNA, 422 nt
Filed under: uncultured bacterium
Lineage: Bacteria
Description: bacterial SSU rRNA
Rfam family: Bacterial small subunit ribosomal RNA
Source: RNAcentral